AUGUGUCAAAAAUUGAAAUGCCCGGUUCGCGGUUUAAUUUCAUUUUAAAUAAAGACGCCAGGCCAGAGCAUUAAGGGUUGCAGUGUUAUCGGGCAUUUGUGAACGCCACUGCAAAUACUGCAAUACAUUUCAGUUUCAAAAAUUGUAAAUUGUCAGAAAAACGUUUAAGGGCUUUGUCAUGAAUUACACCUUGGAAAGUCGAUUGGAGUUGAACAGAAUAAAUCAUCUGGUCUGUUUUGCAAAGAAGCAAUAAUUUUUCAAAUAAUGAAAUCCAAAAAGUACCCUGAAGGUAAAAAUUGUGAAAAAUCAAGUAAUGGACAAUGGCAGAGCAAGUCUUAUCACAGUUAACGAACACUAUGAGUACCUAAUGAGUUUUUGCAGUAAAUAAUUUUGCCAAAGUUGUGAUCCCGCGAAAGUUCUGUUUGUAAAUUGUAAGGAAUCGUCAAAAUAUUGGUGCAGACAUGGUUUGUGACCGGUGCUUUUCUCUUGAAAAAACACAACUGAAAUCCUUGAUCUUCAUCCCUACAAUAGGUGAAAACUGCUAUGUCCAAACAUUACCUUCAGCUUUGCAGUUUCUAGAUAUCUGAAACAUGCCAGAUCUGCAUAACAGGAAUGUCAAAGAGGUUCUACCCAAAACACGCCCACAUGGCCAUCCUAAUAUCAAGAUUUUUCAAAAUUUCUAUAAGAAAAAAGAUGAAAAAACCAAUAAAAUUUCAGGAGCAUAGUGUUAAGAGUUCUGUAGCUGAUUAUGAGAUCUCUUGAAACAACAGAAUGUUUAAUAAAGAUUUUUAACUUUCCUAAUAGUAAAAUUACAAUUAUUACUAAACAUACCUACACACACUUUCUACAUCUAAUUUUGUUUAUUGAUCACAUUCAUUUACUUGAAAAAGUAUCAGGCCUAUGAAUCGUCGUCUGCUAACCACACACCAACCUUCAUUGCGUGUGAUGGUGUUUCUUCAAAAGCCCUAACAGAUGAAACCAGGCUUCAUCAGAAAAGAACGACAAAUCGAGAAUCCCGUUAUCGUCCAUAUCAGCUUGAAACCAACUACACUACCCAACGCGGCAAGGAAAAUCAGCUGGUUGCA
Molecule: long non-coding RNA, 1085 nt
Organism: Zophobas morio
Lineage: Eukaryota; Metazoa; Arthropoda; Insecta; Coleoptera; Tenebrionidae
Exons: 4
Source: RefSeq, a predicted model, not a curated record